This 429-nucleotide ribosomal RNA is filed under the name Pseudomonadota bacterium. RNAcentral's name for it is "Proteobacteria bacterium partial 16S ribosomal RNA". It matches the Rfam family "Bacterial small subunit ribosomal RNA", at positions 355 to 776 of the family's 1533-position model. Lineage: Bacteria; Pseudomonadati; Pseudomonadota. The record is from RNAcentral.
UGGGGAAUAUUGGACAAUGGGCGAAAGCCUGAUCAAGCAAUGCCGCGUGGGUGAAGAAGGUCUUCGGAUUGUAAAGCACUUUAAGUGGGGAGGAAGGGCAGUAAGCGAAUACCUUGCUGUUUUGACGUUACCGACAGAAUAAGCACCGGCUAACUCUGUGCCAGCAGCCGCGGUAAUACAGAGGGUGCAAGCGUUAAUCGGAAUUACUGGGCGUAAAGCGCGCGUAGGUGGUUCGUUAAGUUGAAUGUUAAAGCCCCGGGCUCAACCUGGGGACUGCAUCCAAAACUGGCGAGCUAGAGUAGGGCAGAGGGUGGUGGAAUUUCCUGUGUAGCGGUGAAAUGCGUAGAUAUAGGAAGGAACACCAGUGGCGAAGGCGACCACCUGGGCUCAUACUGACACUGAGGUGCGAAAGCGUGGGGAGCAAACAGG